CCUACGGGCGACAGCAGUCGAGAAUCAUUCACAAUGGGGGAAACCCUGAUGGUGCGACGCCGCGUGGGGGAAUGAAGGUCUUCGGAUUGUAAACCCCUGUCAUGUGGGAGCAAAUUAAAAAGAUAGUACCACAAGAGGAAGAGACGGGUAACUCUGUGCCAGCAGCCGCGGUAAUACAGAGGUCUCAAGCGUUGUUCGGAAUCACUGGGCGUAAAGCGUGCGUAGGCUGUUUCGUAAGUCGUGUGUGAAAGGCGCGGGCUCAACCCGCGGACGGCACAUGAUACUGCGAGACUAGAGUAAGGGAGGGGGAACCGGAAUUCUCGGUGUAGCAGUGAAAUGCGUAGAUAUCGCGAGGAACACUCGUGGCGAAGGCGGGUUCCUGGACAUUAACUGACGCUGAGGCACGAAGGCCAGGGGAGCGAAAGGGAUUAGAUACCCCAGUAGUC
RNAcentral lists this ribosomal RNA (446 nucleotides) under uncultured bacterium. Its description in RNAcentral is "partial 16S ribosomal RNA". It matches the Rfam family "Bacterial small subunit ribosomal RNA", at positions 338 to 795 of the family's 1533-position model. The record is from RNAcentral.